This 481-nucleotide ribosomal RNA is filed under the name uncultured bacterium. RNAcentral's name for it is "bacterial SSU rRNA". It matches the Rfam family "Bacterial small subunit ribosomal RNA", at positions 30 to 507 of the family's 1533-position model. The record is from RNAcentral.
AUUGAACGCUGGCGGCAUGCCUUACACAUGCAAGUCGAACGGUAACAGCACUUCGGUGGCUGACGAGUGGCGAACGGGUGAGUAAUACAUCGGAACGUGCCCGAGAGUGGGGAUAACGCAGCGAAAGCUGUGCUAAUACCGCAUACGAUCUACGGAUGAAAGCAGGGGACCGCAAGGCCUUGCGCUCAUGGAGCGGCCGAUGGCAGAUUAGGUAGUUGGUGGGAUAAAAGCUUACCAAGCCGACGAUCUGUAGCUGGUCUGAGAGGACGACCAGCCACACUGGGACUGAGACACGGCCCAGACUCCUACGGGAGGCAGCAGUGGGGAAUUUUGGACAAUGGGCGAAAGCCUGAUCCAGCCAUGCCGCGUGCAGGAUGAAGGCCUUCGGGUUGUAAACUGCUUUUGUACGGAACGAAAAGGUCUUUUCUAAUAAAGAAGGCUCAUGACGGUACCGUAAGAAUAAGCACCGGCUAACUACGUG